CAGAAAAAAACAGCUCAAAAUCUUGAAGAAAAAUACAUAAAACCUAAAGAUUCUCAGACAGUUGGCCAGGCUAUCUAAUGAAAUAUGAUUGUAGGAGUCCUCAGUAUUGGCAAAUCUGAAGAGUUUAAGGCUGCAACAAAAUGAUUGUUACAUUUCCCAGCCUAGAGGGUCGAUACACUGAAGAGCCAUUUGUAACAUUCUUUAGUUACUAAGCCAUAUGUGAAAUGCUUAAAAAAAGACAAGUAUUUAAAUUAUUUUGUUUGAAAUUGAGGUUGUUCUCUUAAAAAAUCAUGAGAACACACAUCAAAUAGCUUGUGAAAAGAGUUCGAGCACGAAUGUGUGUUUUCGUGGAAUUUUACAUCUAGUUUUAGAAAUCCUAAACUGUGCCUUCAUGGGCACCUAGUCUCAGUAAUGGGAGUUUCAAAAUGAAGACCAUUAUAGACACAUUGAAAACUGAACAUUUUAAACUCAAUUUGAAGUCCCGACAAUUCACACUGGAUCUGAUAACCCCGAAUGUUUAUGAAAUGUAUCUUUGGGAGAAAGUUGUUACAUAAAAGUGAAAUGAUAAUGAACUAUGUUUAUUAAAAAUGAAACCCCACGUAUUAUUAUCAUCAUCAGAUAAUACAAUUUGAUGAAGUCUUAUGUACACUCACCUUCAAUGUGACAGAUCGCACCCACUGUAAUGAAACGUAUCAGUUAGCUUUCCCGAUAUGUUAAUAGUAAAUGUACAUACAGGUAUUAGAGCAGUAUGAGAUGGUAAUAAGAACCAUAAUGUAUAGAAACGCCUUACUUUUACAUAUGAUUUGAGUUUUGGUUAUUCUGUUUUUGUUUGUAUACUUUUUGUUGACUUCUAGGUACAACCCUCAUAACCAAUUGUACCUCCACUGCUUAGAAUUCAAAACAUUACUGGUUGUUCCACAUUUACCUUUUUUUUAUCUGUUUUCAG
Non-coding RNA from Pelobates cultripes (western spadefoot toad), 946 nucleotides. The record is from the annotation of a GenBank genome assembly. Lineage: Eukaryota; Metazoa; Chordata; Amphibia; Anura; Pelobatidae.